This 366-nucleotide ribosomal RNA is filed under the name uncultured eukaryote. RNAcentral's name for it is "partial 18S ribosomal RNA". It matches the Rfam family "Eukaryotic small subunit ribosomal RNA", at positions 592 to 976 of the family's 1831-position model. The record is from RNAcentral.
CAAUAGCGUAUAUUAACGUUGUUGCAGUUAAAAAGCUCGUAGUUGGAUUUCUGGAGGGAGCGUCGGCCCGUAUUUACGAGUGCGUGACGUCUCUGUCCAUCCUUGCGGGAAGGCACGGCAUUGAUUUGUUGUGUCGGAUCGCAUCAUUUACUGUGAAAAAAUUAGAGUGUUCAAAGCAGGCUUUCGCUUGAAUACAUUAGCAUGGAAUAAUAAGAUAGGACUUUGGUGCUAUUUUGUUGGUUGAGCCUAAAGUAAUGAUUAAUAGGGAUAGUUGGGGGCACCUGUAUUGCGUUGUCAGUGGUGAAAUUCUUGGAUUUACGCAAGACAAACAGCUGCGAAAGCGUCUGCCAAGGAUGUUUUCAUUAA